AAAUUGCUCAAAUGAAUUUUGUAACUUGUCUGUUUUGUAGGCUUAUUUUUAAAUCAAGCUUUUUUGUAACAUCCAUUUUAUGACAGAGAAGAAGACAUGACGUCCUGAAAACUGAUGUUUACCAUAAUAUGAACUACCAGAAACCUACAUCACUUUCCAAUCGCAGUUAUUUUUUGAAUCAAAUAGUCUCCAAGAAGGAUUCUGUAGCAGGACUGAUAGUAAACAGAUUUUGAGAAUAUGUACAGAGGACCGGAUGCUAGAUACAACGACUGCUUAUAUCGAUACUCUCAAGGCUCCUAAAUUAAGAAACACAUUUUGUGAAUGUUUUUUAAAUUCUUCUAUUCCCAACGCUUUUUUGAUUUUUAAUUUAUAUAAUUGCACUCAUGGGUCACCAUUGAAAUUUGAAAUAGAUGAGAAUAUUCUUGAUAAAACGUCUAGCUCUCUUAAAGUACGUGCCCAAAAAAAUACUGAGCUUAAGUUUAUUUCUCAAAUUGAUCGGAAAAAAGAGGGAGCUUGUCUUGCCAUCUAUACAGGUACGUACCGCAUUUAUAUUUCAAUUACCGUACAUUUGGAUUUUAAAAAUUGAUCUAGUGUUGUUUAUAGAAAUCAAUACAAAGUAAUCCAUCGGGGCUGCAUGUAAAUUGCAAACUCGGUUGGGCUUUCUUUAGGGAUUCUUGUAUUCUCUAUUUUAUCGCCACAUCAGCGUUGUUUAUGCCGUGUGGAGGCUGUAAAAUGUCGCCCCGUACAUUCAAUUAGGGAUGUUAUAUUUCCGAUCCUUAAAGAUCGUUCAGCACGACAUUAUUGUUGUGCUUGUGGUAAUUUAGAUAUUUCUAUUUGGCAAUUUUCUUGUUGGGUGGUUGCGGUAUUCCUUCAUUGAAUACCGUUGAAUCACCCUUAGGAUAUGUGGCCUGCUUUUUAAAUUUGUCUUUUGACGUCUUAUCUGUGAUAUGCAGGCUUCAUAACAUCUGAUCCCCUUUGAAAAUUCUAUUUUAUUUAGUUCCACCCAUUGUUUUCUCGUUGAGAACAAGGGCAUUUUACUACUUGGGGACCGUAUGCCGCUUUUCAUGGAAUGGCACUUACGUGUUACAUUGAAAGUUCCAUGAU
Molecule: long non-coding RNA, 1104 nt
Organism: Ruditapes philippinarum (Manila clam)
Lineage: Eukaryota; Metazoa; Mollusca; Bivalvia; Venerida; Veneridae
Exons: 3
Source: RefSeq, a predicted model, not a curated record